UAACGCGUAAAGAACUUGCCUCACAGCUAGGGACAACAUUUAGAAAUGAAUGCUAAUACCUGAUAUUAUGAUUUUAAGGCAUCUUAGAAUUAUGAAAGCCAUAAGCACUGUGAGAGAGCUUUGCGUCCCAUUAGCUAGUUGGAGAGGUAACGGCUCACCAAGGCGAUGAUGGGUAGCCGGCCUGAGAGGGUGAACGGCCACAAGGGGACUGAGACACGGCCCUU
This 224-nucleotide ribosomal RNA is filed under the name uncultured bacterium. Its description in RNAcentral is "partial 16S ribosomal RNA". It matches the Rfam family "Bacterial small subunit ribosomal RNA", at positions 111 to 334 of the family's 1533-position model. The record is from RNAcentral.